GCAGUCGACGGUGAAGAGGAGCUUGCUCCUUGGAUCAGUGGCGAACGGGUGAGUAACACGUGAGCAAUCUGCCCUUGACUCUGGGAUAACUGCGGGAAACUGUAGCUAAUACCGGAUAUUACCUUGGAAGGCAUCUUCUGGGGUGGAAAGAAUUUUGGUCAAGGAUGAGCUCGCGGCCUAUCAGCUAGUUGGUGAGGUAAUGGCUCACCAAGGCGACGACGGGUAGCCGGCCUGAGAGGGUGACCGGCCACACUGGGACUGAGACACGGCCCAGACUCCUACGGGAGGCAGCAGUGGGGAAUAUUGCACAAUGGGCGCAAGCCUGAUGCAGCAACGCCGCGUGAGGGACGAUGGCCUUCGGGUUGUAAACCUCUUUUAGUAGGGAAGAAGCGACUGGGUUUUCCUGGGAGUGACGGUACCUGCAGAAAAAGCACCGGCUAACUACGUGCCAGCAGCCGCGGUAAUACGUAGGGUGCAAGCGUUGUCCGGAAUUAUUGGGCGUAAAGAGCUCGUAGGCGGUUUGUCGCGUCUGCUGUGAAAACCCGAGGCUCAACCUCGGGCCUGCAGUGGGUACGGGCAGACUAGAGUGCGGUAGGGGAGAUUGGAAUUCCUGGUGUAGCGGUGGAAUGCGCAGAUAUCAGGAGGAACACCAAUGGCGAAGGCAGAUCUCUGGGCCGUAACUGACGCUGAGGAGCGAAAGCAUGGGGAG
Molecule: ribosomal RNA, 709 nt
Filed under: uncultured bacterium
Lineage: Bacteria
Description: bacterial SSU rRNA
Rfam family: Bacterial small subunit ribosomal RNA
Source: RNAcentral